AUCGAACCCGGAGAUAGCUGGUUCUCCCCGAAAUAGCUUUAGGGCUAGCCUCGGGGGAUGUCAUGCGGAGGUAGAGCACUGAUUGGGCUAGGGGUCUUACCAGAUUACUGAACCCGUUCAAACUCCGAAUACCGUAUGAUUACCCCGGGAGUCAGACAGUGGGGGAUAAGCUUCAUUGUCGAAAGGGAAACAGCCCAGACCCUCAGCUAAGGUCCCCAAGUACGUGCUAAGUGGGAAACGAUGUGGGAUUGCAUAGACAACCAGGAUGUUGGCUUAGAAGCAGCCACUCAUUUAAAGAGUGCGUAAUAGCUCACUGGUCGAGUGGUCCUGCGCGGAAAAUGUAACGGGGCUCAAGCACGACACCGAAGCUAGGGAUUUCCAUAGAAAUAUGGGAGUGGUAGGGGAGCAUAGUGUUCAGCAGUGAAGUCGUACCGUAAGGAGCGGUGGAGCGGACACUAGAGAGAAUGCAGGAAUAAGUAGCGAAAAGACAGGUGAGAAUCCUGUCCGCCGAAAGCCUAAGGUUUCCUGAGGAAGGUUCGUCCUCUCAGGGUAAGCCGGGACCUAAGCCGAGGCUGAAAAGCGUAGGCGAUGGACAACGGGUUAAAAUUCCCGUGCCACCACGGUCCGUUUGAGCAAUGGGGUGACGCAGAAGGGUAGACCAGCCGGCUGAUGGAUGCCGGUCCAAGCGAGUAGGGUGUUUAGUAGGUAAAUCCGCUAAACGUUAAGCCUGAGACGUGACGGAGUGCGAAAUUUAGUAGCGGAAUUGGUUGAUCCCAAGCUGCCAAGAAAAGCCUCUAGCGAGGAACCAGGUGCCCGUACCGCAAACCGCCACAGGUAGGCAAGAAGAAUAUUCUAAGGCGCGCGAGAGAACCCCUGUUAAGGAACUCGGCAAAUUGACCGCGUAACUUCGGGAAAAGCGGUGCCCCAUGCUCGUGAAAGUUUUACACUGUAAGCGAGAAGGGGCUGCAGAGAAAUGGCCCAGGCGACUGUUUACCAAAAACACAGGUCCCUGCAAAGUCGCAAGACGACGUAUAGGGGCUGACGCCUGCCCAGUGCCGGAAGGUUAAGGGGAAGGGUCCGACUUUUAGUCAAAGCUCUGAACUUAAGCCCCGGUAAACGGCGGCCGUAACUAUAACGGUCCUAAGGUAGCGAAAUUCCUUGUCGGGUAAGUUCCGACCUGCACGAAUGGCGUAACGAUCUGGGCGCUGUCUCGACGGGGGGCUCGGCGAAAUUGUAUUACCGGUGAAGAUGCCGGUUACCCGCGGUUAGACGGAAAGACCCCGUGGAGCUUUACUCUAGCUUGGCAUUGAGUUUUGGUAAGCAAUGUACAGUAUAGGUGGGAGACUUAGAAGCCAGGGCGCCAGUCUUGGUGGAGUCGACAUUGGGAUACCACUCUUUGGUUACUGGAAUUCUAACUUCAAGCCGUAAGCCGGAUGAAGGACAUUGCCAGGUGGGGAGUUUGACUGGGGCGGUCGCCUCCCAAAGUGUAACGGAGGCGUCCAAAGGUUCCCUCCGCGCGGUUGGAAAUCGCGCUUCGAGUGCAAAGGCAUAAGGGAGCUUGACUGCGAGACUGACAAGUCGAGCAGGGACGAAAGUCGGGCUUAGUGAUCCGGUGGUUCCGAGUGGA
RNAcentral lists this ribosomal RNA (1627 nucleotides) under Ignavibacteria bacterium. RNAcentral describes it as "partial 23S ribosomal RNA". It matches the Rfam family "Bacterial large subunit ribosomal RNA", at positions 832 to 2437 of the family's 2925-position model. Lineage: Bacteria; Pseudomonadati; Ignavibacteriota; Ignavibacteria. The record is from RNAcentral.